CUAAUACCGGAUAAUAACAGAUGAUGCCUAUCAACUGUUUAAAAGAAUGGUUCUGCUAUCACUCUUGGAUGGACCUGCGGUGCAUUAGCUAGUUGGUAGGGUAACGGCCUACCAAGGCGAUGAUGCAUAGCCGAGUUGAGAGACUGAUCGGCCACAUUGGGACUGAGACACGGCCCAAACUCCUACGGGAGGCAGCAGGC
This 200-nucleotide ribosomal RNA is filed under the name uncultured Lactobacillus sp. RNAcentral's name for it is "partial 16S ribosomal RNA". It matches the Rfam family "Bacterial small subunit ribosomal RNA", at positions 163 to 354 of the family's 1533-position model. Lineage: Bacteria; Bacillati; Bacillota; Bacilli; Lactobacillales; Lactobacillaceae. The record is from RNAcentral.